GGCAAUCGGUGGAUGCCUAGGCACCAAGAGCCGAUGAAGGACGUGGUAAUCUGCGAUAAGCCCCGGGGAGUUGGUACACGAGCUGUGAUCCGGGGAUGUCCGAAUGGGGAAACCUCGAAGGGAACCGGAGUAGUGUCCGGCGACGCUCACCUGAAUGUAUAGGGUGGUGCGAGGGAACGGGGGGAAGUGAAACAUCUCAGUACCCCUAGGAAGAGAAAACAAUAGUGAUUCCGUUAGUAGUGGCGAGCGAAC
RNAcentral lists this ribosomal RNA (252 nucleotides) under Astrosyne radiata. RNAcentral describes it as "partial Bacterial large subunit ribosomal RNA". It matches the Rfam family "Bacterial large subunit ribosomal RNA", at positions 16 to 258 of the family's 2925-position model. The record is from RNAcentral. Lineage: Eukaryota; Bacillariophyta; Fragilariophyceae; Cyclophorales; Cyclophoraceae.